CCCCGUGGGUGUAAUAACGCGCUUCGUUGUAAAGCCCUUUCGGCACGGUAAAAAAUCGGCGGGGCGAAUAACCCUGCUGGAUGACGGUACCUGCAGAAGAAGCACCGGCUAACUACGUGCCAGCAGCCGCGGUAAUACGUAGGGUGCGAGCGUUAAUCGGAUUUACUGGGCGUAAAGCGUGCGCAGGCGGCCCGUUAAGACAGGUGUGAAAUCCCUGGGCUCAACCUAGGAAUUGCGCUUGUGACUGGCGGGCUCGAGUACGGUAGAGGGGGGUGGAAUUAUUGGGGUA
Molecule: ribosomal RNA, 289 nt
Filed under: uncultured Hydrogenophilus sp.
Lineage: Bacteria; Pseudomonadati; Pseudomonadota; Hydrogenophilia; Hydrogenophilales; Hydrogenophilaceae
Description: partial 16S ribosomal RNA
Rfam family: Bacterial small subunit ribosomal RNA
Source: RNAcentral